UAGAGAAAUGAAGAGGAAUGAAAUAAUGUAAGAAGGAAAGAGGAAGAAUCAUGGGAGUGUAAAAUAGAAAUAAAAUAGACAGGAGAAAGGAAUUAAAGAUGGUGGAAAAGAUUUUUAAAUAAAAGUCGCGAAAGAAAUUAAGAGUGCAAUCGAACACGAAUUUAAAGAUUUUUUAAAUAACUGUAAAGAUUUUACAAAAUGUGUAAUGAAGGUAGAGGAACGGAUAGAAAUAAAACAAUGUAAGAAGAAAGUAAGAAAAAUUUUGAGAUGUAAAAUAUGUAAACAAUAGACAAAAAAGCGGAAUUAAAGAAAGCGAAGAAGGUAAAAAUUGUUAAAUAAAGGACGAAAAAGGUUAAGAACGCUAUUGAACGCGAGUUUGAAGAUUUUUUAAAUAAUGGAUGAAUAUUACGUGGCAUUUUGACAUUUUGUGUUUUAAGAAUAAAAUUCCUUUAAUUGAACAUUACUUCUUUUAGUAAAAAUUUUAAAAAACGUGCAAUAAAGGUAAAGAAAAAAAGAAAAAUGAAAUAAUGUAAGAGGGAAGGAAGAAGAAUUAUGAGAGUGUAAAAUAGGUAAAAAAUAGGAAAGAUAAAAGAAAAGAAGGUAGAUAAUGUAGAAAUUUAAAAAAUAAUAUUACAAAAACGUCUGUUAAUAUAUUUUUUGUGUAAAAUAUUAAUAUCAUUGUAAUUUAUUAAUGCAAGGCGUGCUCAUGGAACAAACUGCAUGUCUCACAUUUUAUAAAGGUAAUAGUAGCUUUGUACAAGGGCAAGAUGAACAAUGUUAUAUUGAUUGGUCAUUCUUCGGUAAGAUAUAUAACAGAUAUUCUAUAUAUUAUUAUAGAGAAUGGUUGAAAUUAACUGGCAUUUUUUUCAGGGUGGCAUUGUGGCGAAAGGAUAUUAUUGCUAGCGCCAAAUAUGAAUGUUUCAACUGCAAGUAUAAUAAUAAACCUAGUUACUCCUCAUACUCCCUCUUUAGUCCUCGAUAGUUUCUUCGCUAAUUAUUGCUUAACACUACAAAAAGCGUGAGAUCAUAAAAUUACCUUUUCAAAAAAAAG
Long non-coding RNA from Solenopsis invicta (red fire ant), 1051 nucleotides. RefSeq lists it as uncharacterized. The record is from RefSeq and is a predicted model, not a curated record. NCBI's taxonomy places the organism in Eukaryota, Metazoa, Arthropoda, Insecta, Hymenoptera, Formicidae. The transcript is spliced from 2 exons.